UUUUUGUGAUGAGAAAUCUGUCAGUUCUGCUACUGAUUAGCAUAUUGAAGAAAAUUAUUUCGCUGAAA
RNAcentral lists this small nucleolar RNA (68 nucleotides) under Parasteatoda tepidariorum (common house spider). The record is from RNAcentral. Lineage: Eukaryota; Metazoa; Arthropoda; Arachnida; Araneae; Theridiidae.